RNAcentral lists this transfer RNA (69 nucleotides) under Babylonia zeylanica. Its description in RNAcentral is "tRNA-Thr". It matches the Rfam family "tRNA". From Rfam's summary of the family: Transfer RNA (tRNA) molecules are approximately 80 nucleotides in length. The record is from RNAcentral. Lineage: Eukaryota; Metazoa; Mollusca; Gastropoda; Neogastropoda; Buccinidae.
GCAACAGUAGCUCAAUAGAGAGAGUGUCGGCCUUGUAAGUCGAAGGUGAAUACAAUAUUUCCUGUUGCU